UACGGAGGGUGCGAGCGUUGUCCGGAAUCACUGGGCGUAAAGGGCGCGUAGGCGGGCUGCCAAGUCUGGGGUGAAAUCCCACGGCUCAACCGUGGAACUGCCUCGGAUACUGGCGGCCUCGAGGGAGGUAGGGGCAUGCGGAACUAUGCGUGGAGCGGUGAAAUGCGUUGAUAUGCAUAGGAACUCCGGUGGCGAAGGCGGCGUGCUGGACCUCUUCUGACGCUGAGGCGCGAAAGCCAGGGGAGCGAACGGG
Molecule: ribosomal RNA, 253 nt
Filed under: uncultured bacterium
Lineage: Bacteria
Description: partial 16S ribosomal RNA
Rfam family: Bacterial small subunit ribosomal RNA
Source: RNAcentral